ACACUCCUGCGGGAGGCAGCAGUGGGGAAUUUUGGACAAUGGGCGAAAGCCUGAUCCAGCAAUGCCGCGUGUGUGAAGAAGGCCUUCGGGUUGUAAAGCACUUUUGUCCGGAAAGAAAUCCUUGGCUCUAAUACAGUCGGGGGAUGACGGUACCGGAAGAAUAAGCACCGGCUAACUACGUGCCAGCAGCCGCGGUAAUACGUAGGGUGCGAGCGUUAAUCGGAAUUACUGGGCGUAAAGCGUGCGCAGGCGGUUUGCUAAGACCGAUGUGAAAUCCCCGGGCUCAACCUGGGAACUGCAGUGGUGACUGGCAGGCUAGAGUAUGGCAGAGGGGGGUAGAAUUCCACGUGUAGCAGUGAAAUGCGUAGAGAUGUGGAGGAAUACCGAUGGCGAAGGCAGCCCCCUGGGCCAAUACUGACGCUCAUGCACGAAAGCGUGGGGAGCAAACAGGAUUAGAAACCCCUGUAGUCCCAU
RNAcentral lists this ribosomal RNA (474 nucleotides) under uncultured organism. RNAcentral describes it as "partial 16S ribosomal RNA". It matches the Rfam family "Bacterial small subunit ribosomal RNA", at positions 333 to 798 of the family's 1533-position model. The record is from RNAcentral.